ACGUACACUCCUGCGGGAGGCAGCAGUGGGGAAUAUUGGACAAUGGGCGCAAGCCUGAUCCAGCCAUGCCGCGUGAGUGAUGAAGGCCCUAGGGUUGUAAAGCUCUUUCACCGGUGAAGAUAAUGACGGUAACCGGAGAAGAAGCCCCGGCUAACUUCGUGCCAGCAGCCGCGGUAAUACGAAGGGGGCUAGCGUUGUUCGGAUUUACUGGGCGUAAAGCGCACGUAGGCGGACUAUUAAGUCAGGGGUGAAAUCCCGGGGCUCAACCCCGGAACUGCCUUUGAUACUGGUAGUCUUGAGUGCGAGAGAGGUGAGUGGAACUCCGAGUGUAGAGGUGAAAUUCGUAGAUAUUCGGAGGAACACCAGUGGCGAAGGCGGCUCACUGGCUCGAUACUGACGCUGAGGUGCGAAAGCGUGGGGAGCAAACAGGAUUAGAAACCCGGGUAGUCCC
Molecule: ribosomal RNA, 451 nt
Filed under: uncultured organism
Description: partial 16S ribosomal RNA
Rfam family: Bacterial small subunit ribosomal RNA
Source: RNAcentral